UUUUUUAGACAAACGCUGCAUGUGAAUGUAGAGGAAAGUCCAUGCUCACUCAUUCUGGAAUGAAUGAAAGUGUUCGUGCUAGGGGAAUAAAUAACCCUAGGUAGUACGAAAGUACUAACGGCGGUGAGGUAAUCAAGACCUGAUUAUAUUAGCCAUAAAGUGCCAUAGAGACGAGAUAGUUAGGAAUAACUAUUGUGGAACGCGGUAAACCCCACGAGUGAGAAACCCAAAUUUGGUAGGGGAGCGCUUACGAAUGAACAAAUAAAAGAGUAAGUGAAGGAGAAAUCCUUAGAUAAAUGUUUGUCACCUUAAAGGUACAGAACAUGGCUUAUUAAA
Clostridium sp. CAG:524 is the source of this 336-nucleotide non-coding RNA. The record is from Rfam. NCBI's taxonomy places the organism in Bacteria, Bacillati, Bacillota, Clostridia, Eubacteriales, Clostridiaceae.